Molecule: RNase P RNA, 391 nt
Filed under: Thermosynechococcaceae cyanobacterium MS004
Lineage: Bacteria; Bacillati; Cyanobacteriota; Cyanophyceae; Acaryochloridales; Thermosynechococcaceae
Description: RNase P RNA component class A
Rfam family: Bacterial RNase P class A
About the family: Ribonuclease P (RNase P) is a ubiquitous endoribonuclease, found in archaea, bacteria and eukarya as well as chloroplasts and mitochondria. Its best characterised activity is the generation of mature 5'-ends of tRNAs by cleaving the 5'-leader elements of precursor-tRNAs.
Source: RNAcentral
AGAGCAGGCGAGGAGGUUGCAGCAAACUGGUUCGUCCAUUCUGCUGAGGAAAGUCCGGGCUCCCGAAAGGCCAGACUUGCUGGGUAACGCCCAGUGCGGGUGACCGUGAGGAGAGUGCCACAGAAACAUACCGCCGAUGGGGUUUUGGCUCUUGAGUCAGAACCCACAGGUAAGGGUGCAAGGGUGCGGUAAGAGCGCACCAGCAGCAUUGAGAGGUGCUGGCUCGGUAAACCCCGGUUGGGAGCAAGGCAAUGGAGCGAGGGUUGGUCUUUUUCCUGUUCCGAUUUUGAAGCCGCUUGAGGUGUCUGGUAACAGGCAUCCCAGAUAGAUAACUUCCCUCCGGCUGCACUGUAGCUGGAGAACAGAACCCGGCUUAUGUCCGGCUCUUUCU